GCGAAUCAGCAGCAGACCCUCCCUCCCAGACCCUCUCACCUCCUGGACAGCUCACUAAGAAUGCAGUUUCAAAAUGGAUGCUGUCCAGGAGGUGGGAGGGCCUGGGAGGGAGGGUCUGCUGCUGAUUGG
Molecule: non-coding RNA, 129 nt
Organism: Pelobates cultripes (western spadefoot toad)
Lineage: Eukaryota; Metazoa; Chordata; Amphibia; Anura; Pelobatidae
Source: the annotation of a GenBank genome assembly